AGUCUUGGUCUUACGCAAUGAGAGCUUGUGAACCGUGUCAGGUUGGGAACAAAGCAGCACUAAGCAAAAUCUUUCAUGUGCCGUAAGGGUGCCUGGGCCGAGU
This 103-nucleotide signal recognition particle RNA is filed under the name Catonella morbi ATCC 51271. Its description in RNAcentral is "Bacterial signal recognition particle RNA". It matches the Rfam family "Bacterial small signal recognition particle RNA". Rfam says of the family: The signal recognition particle (SRP) is a universally conserved ribonucleoprotein involved in the co-translational targeting of proteins to membranes. Archaeal SRP consists of a 7S RNA and homologues of the eukaryotic SRP19 and SRP54 proteins. The record is from RNAcentral. Lineage: Bacteria; Bacillati; Bacillota; Clostridia; Lachnospirales; Lachnospiraceae.